GACGAACGCUGGCGGCGUGCUUAACACAUGCAAGUCGAACGCUGAAGCUCAGCUUGCUGGGUGGAUGAGUGGCGAACGGGUGAGUAACACGUGAGUAACCUGCCCUCUUCUUUGGGAUAACGCCCGGAAACGGGUGCUAAUACUGGAUAUUCACUGAUUCUCGCAUGGGGGUUGGUGGAAAGGUUUUUUCUGGUGGGGGAUGGGCUCGCGGCCUAUCAGCUUGUUGGUGGGGUGAUGGCCUACCAAGGCUUUGACGGGUAGCCGGCCUGAGAGGGUGACCGGUCACAUUGGGACUGAGAUACGGCCCAGACUCCUACGGGAGGCAGCAGUGGGGAAUAUUGCACAAUGGGCGAAAGCCUGAUGCAGCGACGCCGUGUGGGGGAUGGAGGCCUUCGGGUUGUAAACCUCUUUCGCUCAUGGUCAAGCCGCAGCUUUGGGUUGUGGUGAGGGUAGUGGGUAAAGAAGCGCCGGCUAACUACGUG
Molecule: ribosomal RNA, 482 nt
Filed under: uncultured bacterium
Lineage: Bacteria
Description: partial 16S ribosomal RNA
Rfam family: Bacterial small subunit ribosomal RNA
Source: RNAcentral